CAGUAGGGAAUCUUCCACAAUGGGCGAAAGCCUGAUGGAGCAACGCCGCGUGUGUGAUGAAGGGCUUCGGCUCGUAAAACACUGUUGUAAGAGAGGAAUGACAUUGAGAGUAACUGUUCAAUGUGUGACGGUAUCUUACCAGAAAGGAACGGCUAAAUACGUGCCAG
Molecule: ribosomal RNA, 167 nt
Filed under: uncultured bacterium
Lineage: Bacteria
Description: partial 16S ribosomal RNA
Rfam family: Bacterial small subunit ribosomal RNA
Source: RNAcentral